GACGAACGCUGGCGGCGUGCUUAACACAUGCAAGUCGAACGGAAAGGCCCUGCUUGCAGGGUACUCGAGUGGCGAACGGGUGAGUAACACGUGUGUGAUCUGCCCUGCACUUCGGGAUAAGCCUGGGAAACUGUGUCUAAUACCGGAUAGGAGCCAUUUUUAGUGUGAUGGUUGGAAAGUUUUUUCGGUGUAGGAUGAGCUCGCGGCCUAUCAGCUUGUUGGUGGGGUAAUGGCCUACCAAGGCGGCGACGGGUAGCCGGCCUGAGAGGGUGGACGGCCACAUUGGGACUGAGAUACGGCCCAGACUCCUACGGGAGGGAGCAGUGGGGAAUAUUGCACAAUGGGGGGAAGCCUGAUGCAGCGACGCCGCGUGGGGGAUGACGGCCUUCGGGUUGUAAACUCCUUUCGCUAGGGACGAAGCUUUUUGUGACGGUACCUAGAGAAGAAGCACCGGCUAACUACGUG
Molecule: ribosomal RNA, 465 nt
Filed under: uncultured bacterium
Lineage: Bacteria
Description: partial 16S ribosomal RNA
Rfam family: Bacterial small subunit ribosomal RNA
Source: RNAcentral